This 460-nucleotide ribosomal RNA is filed under the name uncultured bacterium. RNAcentral's name for it is "partial 16S ribosomal RNA". It matches the Rfam family "Bacterial small subunit ribosomal RNA", at positions 338 to 795 of the family's 1533-position model. The record is from RNAcentral.
CCUACGAGUGGCAGCAGUGAGGAAUAUUGGUCAAUGGGCGGGAGCCUGAACCAGCCAAGUCGCGUGAGGGAAGACGGUCCUAUGGAUUGUAAACCUCUUUAGGCGGGGAGCAAUGCCGGGCACGCGUGCCCGGAGGGAGAGUACCCGCAGAAUAAGCAUCGGCUAACUCCGUGCCAGCAGCCGCGGUAAUACGGAGGAUGCGAGCGCUAUCCGGAUGUAUUGGGGUGAAAGGGUGCGUAGGCGGAUUUUUAAGUCAGCGGUAAAAUGUCCGGGCUCAACCCGGGCCGGCCGUUGAAACUGGGGAUCUUGAGUGGGCGAGAAGUAUGCGGAAUGCGUGGUGUAGCGGUGAAAUGCAUAGAUAUCACGCAGAACUCCGAUUGCGAAGGCAGCAUACCGGCGCCCGACUGACGCUGAGGCACGAAAGCGUGGGGAUCGAACAGGAUUAGAUACCCCUGUAGUC